GCCUGAUUCCGAACCUUUAUCAACUCUUCUUCUGCGUGGCCUCGCUCAGUGAGUGCAGCUGCUUUGACUUGGCUCAGCUCCUCCUCCAGGGCUAUCCUGAUGGCCUCCAGCCUUUGGACUCUGUCUUGCAUAGAACGUUCACUGGCCUCCAUGUGCUGUGUCAAGUGAUCCACCUCUUUUAAGCGAAGCGAUUCCAUGUCUUCAAGACUUUGUUUAAAUCUUCUUUUUUCCAUUUCCA
This 238-nucleotide long non-coding RNA is filed under the name Gallus gallus (chicken). Lineage: Eukaryota; Metazoa; Chordata; Aves; Galliformes; Phasianidae. The record is from RNAcentral.